UCCGGACGGGAUAAGCGCUGAAAGCAUCUAAGCGCGAAGCCCACCUCAAGAUGAGGUUUCCCGUCCAGGAGGCAAGAAGCACGAGGCAGGAAGCAGGAGGAAGCAAGAAUAAAGAAAUUGGUGAAGCCAAUUUCCACAAGAAAUCUUGCCUCUUGCAUCUGGCUUCUUGCCUCCUGGGGUAAGACCCCUGGAAGAAUACCAGGUAGAUAGGCCAGGAGUGUAAGACGGGUAACCGUUUGAGCUGACUGGUACUAAUGGGUCGAGGGCUUGACCUA
This 275-nucleotide non-coding RNA is filed under the name Clostridiales bacterium PH28_bin88. RNAcentral describes it as "Bacterial large subunit ribosomal RNA". It matches the Rfam family "Bacterial large subunit ribosomal RNA", at positions 2754 to 2925 of the family's 2925-position model. Lineage: Bacteria; Bacillati; Bacillota; Clostridia; Eubacteriales. The record is from Rfam by way of RNAcentral.